RNAcentral lists this non-coding RNA (55 nucleotides) under Trypanosoma lewisi. The record is from RNAcentral. Lineage: Eukaryota; Euglenozoa; Kinetoplastea; Trypanosomatida; Trypanosomatidae.
AUAUAGAUCACACACGGUAAUAUAGUUAUGAUAAUGAAUGUAGCUGAGAUGGAUU